CGUAGGUGAACCUGCGGAAGGAUCAUUCAUAAUAAAGUGUUUUAUGGCACUUUCUAAAAAUCCAUAUCCACCUUGUGUGCAAUGUUGGAUCUCGUCAAUCUUGGCGAGAUUUUUAUACAUCAACUCAUUCUUUAACUAAUUUGUCUGAAAAAUAUUAUGAAUACUUAAUUCAAAAUACAACUUUCAACAACGGAUCUCUUGGCUCUC
RNAcentral lists this unclassified non-coding RNA (207 nucleotides) under plant metagenome. RNAcentral describes it as "partial contains small subunit ribosomal RNA, internal transcribed spacer 1, and 5.8S ribosomal RNA". The record is from RNAcentral.